GCGAUGGGUCCAUGGACCAGGUGCUGUUGGCGCUGUGACGUCAUACUGAGCAGCACAGCGCCAUACACAGAAACAGUGACAUCCAGCAUUUAUACAGAAAGAUUUCAAUCCUCUUUUACUCCUGUUAGUCAUUCAGGAUGAUAAUGGGAGACAUGCACCACUACCGCAGUGUGCUGGAGAAAAGGUGUGGACUUUCAGAUGUAAAUACAAUAAAGGGAAAAUAGAAAUGAGAAGAGAACAAAGUUGUCUGUCAACAUGACUUCUAUGACAGAUUUUCUUGCUGUUCAGCAACGAUUCUAAUUCAAUUGCUGGCUGCUGUGAAGGAGAUGAGAUGCCAGAAGCAGAAGCGCUGCAAACCAGAACAAAAAAUAAUUACUAGUAGAAAUGUGCUGCAAAUAAUUCCCUUGAAAAUACAGUUGCAUUGUUCUUCUA
Pseudopipra pipra is the source of this 432-nucleotide long non-coding RNA. RefSeq lists it as uncharacterized. The record is from RefSeq and is a predicted model, not a curated record. The transcript has 2 exons. Lineage: Eukaryota; Metazoa; Chordata; Aves; Passeriformes; Pipridae.